Molecule: ribosomal RNA, 468 nt
Filed under: uncultured bacterium
Lineage: Bacteria
Description: partial 16S ribosomal RNA
Rfam family: Bacterial small subunit ribosomal RNA
Source: RNAcentral
GAUGAACGCUGACAGAAUGCUUAACACAUGCAAGUCAACUUGAAUUUGGGUUUUUUAACUUAGAUUUGGGUGGCGGACGGGUGAGUAACGCGUAAAGAACUUGCCUCACGGCUAGGGACAACAUUUGGAAACGAAUGCUAAUACCUGAUAUUAUGAUUAUAAGGCAUCUUAGAAUUAUGAAAGCUAUAUGCGCUGUGAGAGAGCUUUGCGUCCCAUUAGCUAGUUGGAGAGGUAACGGCUCACCAAGGCGAUGAUGGGUAGCCGGCCUGAGAGGGUGAACGGCCACAAGGGGACUGAGACACGGCCCUUACUCCUACGGGAGGCAGCAGUGGGGAAUAUUGGACAAUGGACCAAGAGUCUGAUCCAGCAAUUCUGUGUGCACGAUGACGUUUUUCGGAAUGUAAAGUGCUUUCAGUUGGGAAGAAAAAAAUGACGGUACCAACAGAAGAAGUGACGGCUAAAUACGUG